Molecule: non-coding RNA, 92 nt
Organism: Stegodyphus mimosarum
Lineage: Eukaryota; Metazoa; Arthropoda; Arachnida; Araneae; Eresidae
Source: Rfam
GCGUAGGCUUUGUCAAGUGGUUACUUCGCCAGUACAGAAUUUCGGGUUCUUGCAACUGCAAAUGGAGACCACUGACGCAAUCCUGCGUUUUU